RNAcentral lists this ribosomal RNA (469 nucleotides) under uncultured bacterium. Its description in RNAcentral is "partial 16S ribosomal RNA". It matches the Rfam family "Bacterial small subunit ribosomal RNA", at positions 28 to 508 of the family's 1533-position model. The record is from RNAcentral.
GACGAACGCUGGCGGCGUGCUUAACACAUGCAAGUCGAACGGAAAGGCCCUGCUUUUGUGGGGUGCUCGAGUGGCGAACGGGUGAGUAACACGUGAGUAACCUGCCCUUGACUUUGGGGUAACUUCAGGAAACUGGGGCUAAUACCGGAUAGGAUCUCCUGCUGCAUGGUGGGGGUUGGAAAGUUUCGGCGGUUGGGGAUGGACUCGCGGCUUAUCAGCUUGUUGGUGGGGUAGUGGCUUACCAAGGCUUUGACGGGUAGCCGGCCAGAGAGGGUGGCCGGCCACACUGGGACUGAGAGACGGCCCAGACGCCUACGGGAGGAAGCAGGGGGGAAGAUUGCACAAUGGGCGGCAGCCUGAUGCAGCAACGCCGCGUGCGGGAUGACGGCCUUGGGGUUGUAAAACGCUUUCGGCUGUGACGAAGCGUGUGUGACCGGAAUGGGUAAAGAAGCACCGGCUAACUACGUGC